RNAcentral lists this ribosomal RNA (746 nucleotides) under uncultured archaeon. RNAcentral describes it as "bacterial SSU rRNA". It matches the Rfam family "Archaeal small subunit ribosomal RNA", at positions 371 to 1117 of the family's 1478-position model. The record is from RNAcentral.
AUAGGGGACCUCGAGUGCCAGGUUACAAAUCUGGCUGUCGUGAUGCCUAAAAAGCAUUGCAUAGCAAGGGCCGGGCAAGACCGGUGCCAGCCGCCGCGGUAACACCGGCGGCUCGAGUGGUAACCGUUAUUAUUGGGUCUAAAGGGUCUGUAGCCGGCCGGGUAAGUCUCUUGGGAAAUCUGGCAGCUUAACUGUCAGGCUUUCAGGAGAUACUGUCUGGCUCGAGGCCGGGAGAGGUGAGAGGUACUUCAGGGGUAGGGGUGAAAUCUUGUAAUCCUUGAAGGACCACCAGUGGCGAAGGCGUCUCACCAGAACGGACCUGACGGCAAGGGACGAAAGCUAGGGGCACGAACCGGAUUAGAUACCCGGGUAGUCCUAGCCGUAAACGAUACUCGCUAGGUGUCGGCAACGGUGCGACCGUUGUCGGUGCCGUAGGGAAGCCGUGAAGCGAGCCACCUGGGAAGUACGGCCGCAAGGCUGAAACUUAAAGGAAUUGGCGGGGAAGCACCACAACGGGUGGAGCUUGCGGUUUAAUUGGAUUCAACGCCGGAAAUCUUACCGGGACCGACAGCAAUAUGAAGGCCAGGCUGAAGACUUUGCCGGAUUAGCUGAGAGGUGGUGCAUGGCCGUCGUCAGUUCGUACUGUGAAGCAUCCUGUUAAGUCAGGCAACGAGCGAGACCCACGCCCACAGUUGCCAGCGUACUCUCCGGAGUGACGGGUACACUGUGGGGACCGCCGCUGCUAA